Molecule: ribosomal RNA, 253 nt
Filed under: uncultured bacterium
Lineage: Bacteria
Description: partial 16S ribosomal RNA
Rfam family: Bacterial small subunit ribosomal RNA
Source: RNAcentral
UACAGAGGGGGCAAGCGUUGUUCGGAAUUACUGGGCGUAAAGGGCGCGUAGGCGGCCUUCUAAGUCGAACGUGGAAUCCCCGGGCUCAACCCGGGAACUGCGUCCGAUACUGGAAGGCUUGAAUCCGGGAGAGGGAUGUGGAAUUCCAGGUGUAGCGGUGGAAUGCGCAGAUAUCAGGAGGAACACCAAUAGCGAAGGCAGCUCGCUGGGACGGUAUUGACGCUGAGGCGCGAAAGCGUGGGGAGCAAACAGG